This 915-nucleotide ribosomal RNA is filed under the name Triticum aestivum (bread wheat). RNAcentral describes it as "partial small subunit ribosomal RNA". The record is from RNAcentral. Lineage: Eukaryota; Viridiplantae; Streptophyta; Magnoliopsida; Poales; Poaceae.
AUGAUCGGUCCCAACCUCAACGUGGCUGACUGGAACGUUCGAGGCCUGAACGACCAAGCUCGCAAAGACACGGUCCACGCCUUUCUGUCAGACACUCCCUGCCAUAUCGCGUGUCUUCAAGAGACCAAACUUGUUUUCAUAGAUCAGCAAACUGCGGCCUACAUUGGUGGUUUUAAGCUCAGAUCUUUCGCUCACAAGCCAGCUGUUGGCACACGAGGUGGUAUUCUUCUUCUCUGGAAUGAAGAUCAAGUCUCUGUUACAAACGUUCACAUUGGCAGCUUUUUGAUCUCCGCCCAGAUCACCAUCCGUGAGUGCAGCACCUCUUUUCUCCUCGCCACAGUAUAUGGCCCUAGCGUUGACACAGAUAAAGGAGCUUUUCUUGCCGAAAUCAUCGCCACUGCUCCCAACAACGAUCAGAAAUGGCUCAUCCUUGGUGACUUUAACCUCAUCCUUCAAGUGGAAGACAAGAACAAUGAUAAGCUGAAUCUUCGUCUCAUGGGCCAGUUCAGGCGUGCUCUGAAUACUUGCCAUCUCAAGGAGAUUAAACUACAUAACAGGAAGUUCACCUGGAGCAAUGAAAGGGAGAACCCCACUCUCGAGAGGCUGGACCGCGCUUUUUGCAACCCGAGCUGGGAUUUGACUUUCGAAAGUCAUGUCUUGCACGCUCUUUCGUCAUCCUUGUCGGACCACUGCCCCCUCCUCCUUUCCAACCAGAGUGGGCCCCGUAAACCUGCGACUUUCCGCUUUGAAACCUUCUGGACUAAAAUGCCGGGUUUCCAAGAGACGGUUCUACAGGCAUGGUCAGCGCCCUCUUCUCACACUCAGCCGGUGCACGUAAUCAACCACAAGCUCAAGACCACCGCGCUCAGCUUGCGAUCCUGGAGCAGGGGUCUCUUCUCUAACUGCAAGCUUUAG